Molecule: long non-coding RNA, 569 nt
Organism: Dioscorea cayenensis subsp. rotundata (Guinea yam)
Lineage: Eukaryota; Viridiplantae; Streptophyta; Magnoliopsida; Dioscoreales; Dioscoreaceae
Exons: 4
Source: RefSeq, a predicted model, not a curated record
GCCAUGAGUGAGCUUGGAAGUGGUGUGUGCAUGCCCAUGCAUGCAUGGCUUGCCAAUAAGUGAAAUGCAGAAACAAAGAUGCGGAGCACGCAGACAUGAAGCAAGUGUAGAUAAAGAGGAAAACUGUAAUGUUUGUAAAAAUUUCUUUUUCUUCAUCUUUGACUGGUUUGACUAGGUGUUUGGUGAGUGGGCCCCAAUGUUGUUUCAUUGCCUUAAUUUUCGGAUCUUGCCUGAUUGUGGAUUAUUGGUUUUUCCUGUUUUUGAUUAGUGGAGGCUUUUAAUUGAGUUUAUGGGUUGCUUUUAUAGGCUUAGUUGUGCAACCAAUCUUCUUGCUCUCCAAACUCUCUUAUCCUUGAAACAACUCAACCUUGGCCGAAUUUUGGUGUCAUUUUCUUUUCUCUUUAUGCUUGGUUUUUGAGUGGAACUUGUCACCAACAAGCUUAGAGAUCCAUACCGAGCUGUAGUUCGCGGGACUUGGUGAACCCAACUCUGUAGCUCGGAGCCAGGAGAAGAUCAUGUUUAGGACUGGGGGGUGUCAGAGAGUCGUAUUGUCUGCGUUAUCGAUGAUC